Molecule: long non-coding RNA, 1931 nt
Filed under: Hordeum vulgare
Lineage: Eukaryota; Viridiplantae; Streptophyta; Magnoliopsida; Poales; Poaceae
Description: long non-coding RNA (HVUL_LNC005656)
Source: RNAcentral
UACACACCGACACCAGAAAUCUUGCAAAUUGCCAAAAAGGAAACCUACAUGUAUACCUUUCAUAUCUUCAUAACAAAAAAGGAGAUAUGGGUGCAAUGAUCAUGGUGCUCAGCUGUGACGUAUCUGCAAUAUUGUCUGCUGUCCCAUCUACAAUCUCUAAGAAAUUUACAGAAGUAACUAUUGCAAAAUGUACCGCCAGGAAAGCUAUAUGUGUUGUAUCACUUAAAUUUGUACAAAUGAUAACACAAUCUUCAGAUUGAUAAAAUCACAUCACCGUUGGAUAAAGAAUACUGCUAUCUGAGAGCGUGGAAAGUACGAGAAAUAGGCGAAAUUACUGUAUUAAAGGAGAGAAGUUGGAAAAAAAUACGAGCAUGGUUGUGAGAGACAUAUCUGGAGAUAAGUUAUUUAUUGUAGAGAAGCCUGCCGCCUUUCGUCAUCUCGUCGAAGAGCCCGUUGAUGGCUUCGUACCUCCUUGCUUCCUCACAAGCUCAAUCCGCAGAGCCCAGGUCUUGUUAAUCUCGAUGCCGGGACAAAACAAAAAUCCAAGCACUUAUUAUGAAUAUCAAAAUAAUGAGCGAUGUAGGCAUAUAUAAGCACUAUAUUCAUAUAAAAAAUCUAAGCACUUAUUAUGUUGCUAUUUGUGACGCCUUUCUUAUUUUAGCAAGAAAAUAAUGGUCCCCUCAUAUUAUUAAGUUGUAACUUUCGCAACCAUUAAAAACAUAGAUAAUUAAAGAUAUCAACUAAUUUGCUGUUAACAUGAAAUAAACAAUGCUCCAAAUCAAUGUGUACCUGUCUUAUACCUCGUCAACAAAUUGAACUCGUUGACAUGUCCCCAUUUUUAUCUCCGUUGUUGCAGUUGUUUGGUCCAAUGUCUCCAUGUAUCGCACUUACUAAUCAAAAGAGAAAGUUUGUCCGUCUUCAUAGUUCAUACCGAGUAUCAAUCAAAAGAUAAAGCAUGCACUGGAGUACUCAACAUCGUUAUUCCUGAGGGCACAUAUAUCUGCAUACCCAGAUUUCUAGCUAGUUAUCUAAGAUAGUAAAGUGACACUUGUACAAGGUAACAAAAAUCAAGCACACAAGGAGACUCAAAAGAAAGCUCUGGCCGACCAGUGGUCCGUACAUUUUGUGGUCUCAUGCCGGUUAGUAUUUUACUGUCUAGAUCCUUGAUUCUCUUGUCAUCCUGUUUUGGAAUAGCUUUAUGUUAAGAUUUCUUCUAUUCAUAGUUUGGUACGUAGUUGCGUACCCAAUUUUUUAUAGAAAAACCAAGCUAUUAUUUCAACCAUAUAACUAAGGGGAACACACCUAUGAAAUUCAUUGAUAACAGGAACAACAAAGAUUUUAAAAAAUGUCAUCAAAGAAAUAAAAAAGUGCAGCUAGGUAAUUCAAGCAUGGUAAAAAUACAAAUGCUUUAUUAAUAUAAUAUUUUCUAAUAAAUUCACAAAGGCAUCAUGAUUCUAAACAACAAUAUAUCUCCCGUUUCUGCUUUCAUUGAUCAUUGCCAAGUGACAGCAGCACAAACGUUGAAGCGACUUUCAGCCUCCAAUCAAACAUGAACAUGGGUUGAGAUUCUUUCUGAAUCAAUAUGAUUGUUCAUAUCAGUACAAAAUAAUCUUGCAUUCAGUAGAAGCGUGUAUGUUAAUGGUAAAAGAACUACAAGAUGAAUUAGCGGAUAUGGAUGAAUAAAGUACCUGGAGCCGAGGUUGACCGUGACAUGGUGUGGGAAGAGCAUGAAUCUAGUGAAUCAUCCAUCAACUUGCAUUUAGACAUGACCGAAGCUAAAUGUAAUGAACCAGGAACGGUAAAUUUGACUAAUCUUGUCCGUACAAAUCCACAAAAAGAAACACUGCAAAAUAGAAGAAAUGAAAAUAUCAAGGGUGGAUAAAAUGGUAGGAUCACAUCAUAGAAAGGAAAAUCCAACAAUAGACAUCACU